CAGAAACUGGCAGAGCUGUUCGACCUGGAGACCAGGGGCUUCUUCUCCAGUUCCCAGCUGCGAAGGGGAAGAUCUCAGAGAAGCACCUCCAACUCUGAAGAGGAGGAAGAAUUGCUUCUCGGUGAUGACAAAAUCAUCCUCCACAGCUACAAAAUCCAGUCCACCAUUACGUCCCGCAUGGCCAACACGAUGGUCCAGACCAAAGUGGAAAACAGAGCCAAGAACUCACAGAAUCUGGUCUUUGAUGUCCAGAUCCCUAAAGGGGCCUUUAUCCACAAUUUUACUAUGAACAUCAACGGCAUCACUUUUACUAGUUCCAUUAAGGAAAAAUCGGCCGCUCGAAGUCAGUAUGCCAAGGCGAGGGCCAAAGGCAAAGCUGCUGCGAUC
Non-coding RNA from Pseudonaja textilis, 387 nucleotides. The record is from RefSeq and is a predicted model, not a curated record. NCBI's taxonomy places the organism in Eukaryota, Metazoa, Chordata, Lepidosauria, Squamata, Elapidae.